GCGGGCGGGGCGGGGGCACGGGGGGCCUACGGGAGGCAGCAGUGGGGAAUCUUGGACAAUGGGCGCAAGCCUGAUCCAGCCAUGCCGCGUGAGUGAUGAAGGCCCUAGGGUCGUAAAGCUCUUUCGCCUGUGAUGAUAAUGACAGUAGCAGGUAAAGAAACCCCGGCUAACUCCGUGCCAGCAGCCGCGGUAAUACGGAGGGGGUUAGCGUUGUUCGGAAUUACUGGGCGUAAAGCGCGCGUAGGCGGAUUGGAAAGUUGGGGGUGAAAUCCCGGGGCUCAACCCCGGAACUGCCUCCAAAACUCCCAGUCUUGAGUUCGAGAGAGGUGAGUGGAAUUCCGAGUGUAGAGGUGAAAUUCGUAGAUAUUCGGAGGAACACCAGUGGCGAAGGCGGCUCACUGGCUCGAUACUGACGCUGAGGUGCGAAAGUGUGGGUUCCUCCUCUCAGGAUUAGUGGGAACCUGGUAGUCCACACCGUAAACGAGAUAUUCUCCCGUUGUCGGAGGGUGGAGAAUCA
RNAcentral lists this ribosomal RNA (517 nucleotides) under Roseobacter sp. TKW. Its description in RNAcentral is "bacterial SSU rRNA". It matches the Rfam family "Bacterial small subunit ribosomal RNA", at positions 296 to 838 of the family's 1533-position model. Lineage: Bacteria; Pseudomonadati; Pseudomonadota; Alphaproteobacteria; Rhodobacterales; Roseobacteraceae. The record is from RNAcentral.